AAAGGUGGCUUUCUGUAGCUAUAUAUGUUUCUACAUUAGUUCUAGCCUUCUAGGUGCCUUCUGAUGGCUAUCUUUUAGGUUCUUUUGGGAUCAAUAAUUGCAAACUGCUGCUUAAAGAUUAUGUUGUUUUACAAUUUUACAUUUAGUGUAAUGGUAAGCAAAUGGCUUAUCUUCUCUUUGCAAGUGAUCUAGGCGUACUUUUUG
This 204-nucleotide long non-coding RNA is filed under the name Glycine max (soybean). RNAcentral's name for it is "long non-coding RNA (GMAX_LNC001366)". Lineage: Eukaryota; Viridiplantae; Streptophyta; Magnoliopsida; Fabales; Fabaceae. The record is from RNAcentral.